CAGUAUUCUAACGACAACUGGGGGCACGAAAGCGUUCCGGAGUCUGGCGUUCCCGAUUCUAAUGAGCAAGAGGAGGUUGUGUCUAGUAUACAAG
Long non-coding RNA from Helianthus annuus (common sunflower), 94 nucleotides. RefSeq lists it as uncharacterized. The record is from RefSeq and is a predicted model, not a curated record. The transcript has 2 exons. Lineage: Eukaryota; Viridiplantae; Streptophyta; Magnoliopsida; Asterales; Asteraceae.